GGGUUGUGAGGUUAAGCGACUAAGCGUACACGGUGGAUGCCCUGGCAGUCAGAGGCGAUGAAGGACGUGCUAAUCUGCGAUAAGCGCCGGUAAGGUGAUAUGAACCGUUAUAACCGGCGAUUUCCGAAUGGGGAAACCCAGUGUGACUCGUCACACUAUCAUUAACUGAAUCCAUAGGUUAAUGAGGCGAACCGGGGGAACUGAAACAUCUAAGUACCCCGAGGAAAAGAAAUCAACCGAGAUUCCCCCAGUAGCGGCGAGCGAACGGGGAGGAGCCCAGAGCCUGAAUCAGCAUGUGUGUUAGUGGAAGCGUCUGGAAAGGCGCGCGAUACAGGGUGACAGCCCCGUACACAAAAGCGCAUGUGCUGUGAGCUCGAUGAGUAGGGCGGGACACGUGGUAUCCUGUCUGAAUAUGGGGGGACCAUCCUCCAAGGCUAAAUACUCCUGACUGACCGAUAGUGAACCAGUACCGUGAGGGAAAGGCGAAAAGAACCCCGGCGAGGGGAGUGAAAAAGAACCUGAAACCGUGUACGUACAAGCAGUGGGAGCCCCACCACUAAGCCAGUGGUGAACUCCACAUACGCAUCCUUUGCUGAGGAUACGGUUAACGGAGCGAAAGCGACGUUCAACCUCAAAAGAAGCAGAGGGGGCUUAGUGGUGGGGUGACUGCGUACCUUUUGUAUAAUGGGUCAGCGACUUAUAUUCUGUAGCAAGGUUAACCGAAUAGGGGAGCCGGAGGGAAACCGAGUCUUAAUUGGGCGUUAAGUUGCAGGGUAUAGACCCGAAACCCGGUGAUCUAGCCAUGGGCAGGUUGAAGGUUGGGUAACACUAACUGGAGGACCGAACCGACUAAUGUUGAAAAAUUAGCGGAUGACCUGUGGCUGGGGGUGAAAGGCCAAUCAAACCGGGAGAUAGCUGGUUCUCCCCGAAAGCUAUUUAGGUAGCGCCUCGUGAAUUCAUCUCCGGGGGUAGAGCACUGUUUCGGCUAGGGGGCCAUCCCGGCUUACCAACCCGAUGCAAACUGCGAAUACCGGAGAAUGUUAUCACGGGAGACACACGGCGGGUGCUAACGUCCGUCGUGAAGAGGGAAACAACCCAGACCGCCAGCUAAGGUCCCAAAGUCAUGGUUAAGUGGGAAACGAUGUGGGAAGGCCCAGACAGCCAGGAUGUUGGCUUAGAAGCAGCCAUCAUUUAAAGAAAGCGUAAUAGCUCACUGGUCGAGUCGGCCUGCGCGGAAGAUGUAACGGGGCUAAACCAUGCACCGAAGCUGCGGCAGCGACACUCAGGUGUUGUUGGGUAGGGGAGCGUUCUGUAAGCCUGCGAAGGUGGCCUGUGAGGGUUGCUGGAGGUAUCAGAAGUGCGAAUGCUGACAUAAGUAACGAUAAAGCGGGUGAAAAGCCCGCUCGCCGGAAGACCAAGGGUUCCUGUCCAACGUUAAUCGGGGCAGGGUGAGUCGACCCCUAAGGCGAGGCCGAAAGGCGUAGUCGAUGGGAAACGGGUUAAUAUUCCCGUACUUGGUGUUACUGCGAAGGGGGGACGGAGAAGGCUAUGUUGGCCGGGCGACGGUUGUCCCGGUUUAAGCGUGUAGGUGUGUGUUCCAGGUAAAUCCGGUUCACUUUAACACUGAGGCGUGAUGACGAGGCACUACGGUGCUGAAGCAACAAAUGCCCUGCUUCCAGGAAAAGCCUCUAAGCAUCAGGUAACAUCAAAUCGUACCCCAAACCGACACAGGUGGUCAGGUAGAGAAUACCAAGGCGCUUGAGAGAACUCGGGUGAAGGAACUAGGCAAAAUGGUGCCGUAACUUCGGGAGAAGGCACGCUGACACGUAGGUGAAGUGAUUUACUCAUGGAGCUGAAGUCAGUCGAAGAUACCAGCUGGCUGCAACUGUUUAUUAAAAACACAGCACUGUGCAAACACGAAAGUGGACGUAUACGGUGUGACGCCUGCCCGGUGCCGGAAGGUUAAUUGAUGGGGUCAGCGCAAGCGAAGCUCCUGAUCGAAGCCCCGGUAAACGGCGGCCGUAACUAUAACGGUCCUAAGGUAGCGAAAUUCCUUGUCGGGUAAGUUCCGACCUGCACGAAUGGCGUAAUGAUGGCCAGGCUGUCUCCACCCGAGACUCAGUGAAAUUGAACUCGCUGUGAAGAUGCAGUGUACCCGCGGCAAGACGGAAAGACCCCGUGAACCUUUACUAUAGCUUGACACUGAACAUUGAGCCUUGAUGUGUAGGAUAGGUGGGAGGCUUUGAAGUGUGGACGCCAGUCUGCAUGGAGCCGACCUUGAAAUACCACCCUUUAAUGUUUGAUGUUCUAACGUGGACCCGUGAUCCGGGUUGCGGACAGUGUCUGGUGGGUAGUUUGACUGGGGCGGUCUCCUCCUAAAGAGUAACGGAGGAGCACGAAGGUUGGCUAAUCCUGGUCGGACAUCAGGAGGUUAGUGCAAUGGCAUAAGCCAGCUUGACUGCGAGCGUGACGGCGCGAGCAGGUGCGAAAGCAGGUCAUAGUGAUCCGGUGGUUCUGAAUGGAAGGGCCAUCGCUCAACGGAUAAAAGGUACUCCGGGGAUAACAGGCUGAUACCGCCCAAGAGUUCAUAUCGACGGCGGUGUUUGGCACCUCGAUGUCGGCUCAUCACAUCCUGGGGCUGAAGUAGGUCCCAAGGGUAUGGCUGUUCGCCAUUUAAAGUGGUACGCGAGCUGGGUUUAGAACGUCGUGAGACAGUUCGGUCCCUAUCUGCCGUGGGCGCUGGAGAACUGAGGGGGGCUGCUCCUAGUACGAGAGGACCGGAGUGGACGCAUCACUGGUGUUCGGGUUGUCAUGCCAAUGGCACUGCCCGGUAGCUAAAUGCGGAAGAGAUAAGUGCUGAAAGCAUCUAAGCACGAAACUUGCCCCGAGAUGAGUUCUCCCUGAGACUUAAAGUCUCCUGAAGGAACGUUGAAGACGACGACGUUGAUAGGCCGGGUGUGUAAGCGCAGCGAUGCGUUGAGCUAACCGGUACUAAUGAACCGUGAGGCUUAACCUUACAACGCCGAAG
RNAcentral lists this ribosomal RNA (3028 nucleotides) under Salmonella enterica. Its description in RNAcentral is "23S ribosomal RNA". It matches the Rfam family "Bacterial large subunit ribosomal RNA". The record is from RNAcentral. Lineage: Bacteria; Pseudomonadati; Pseudomonadota; Gammaproteobacteria; Enterobacterales; Enterobacteriaceae.